CCGGCUAUGUAUAGUGAGUCAGGGCAUCGUCCUUCUUCGUUCGUUGCAAACUCAAUAAUAACAGCUUCUUCUUCUCUGUAACAAUGGAGGUAGAACCAAAAGAGCAGAAAACAUCGAGAAAAAAAGUAGCAGUGCUACCAUGGAUGAGAAAUCCAGUUGACGUUAGCUCGUUUAACAAGUGUCCUCUUACUCAGCUUCCGUUUCUUCACCCUAGGCUGGAAGAGGCUUUGUGCAAUGGUGGAAUUGAAUCACUUUUUCCUGUCCAAGUUGCUGUAUGGCAAGAGACCAUGGGCCCCGGCUCCUUCGAAAGAGAUAUUUGUGUGAAUUCACCGACAGGAAGCGGGAAAACCUUAGCCUAUGCAUUGCCAAUCGUACAGAUUCUUUCAACUCGUGCUGUCAAAUGUCUUCGAGCGUUAGUGGUUUUGCCAACUCGCGAUUUGGCUUUGCAGCAUGGGCGACCCCUAACAAUUCCUAGGCACUAGGAAACACUUGUAAUGAUCUGGGAUCCAUGCUAGACUUGCUUGUCAUGAUGGAUUAAGAACACUAUAAAAGGCCCUUGUGUUGCAACAUUAUGUUCACUCAUUCCAUCUGCAUUCUUGGAGCUUCCUGGAGCAUAAGAGCAGACCCUAAGCAUCCCAAAUCGUGCAUAGGACUUCAGUUAAGUGCAGGUACUACGCGAACUAGGCUGGCUUUCUCCUAGCAUCCACAAUAAGUCUCGCAAGCUUGGAUGUCAAAACUGUUGAACAAUAUUUCCUAUUUAUUUUGAUCCCCCUGUGGAUUACUUUCAACUGUUGUGAUACUUGAUAUUACAAUUUAUUAAAGUUGAAAUAUAUCUA
This is an RNA transcript of Helianthus annuus (common sunflower), 836 nucleotides long. It is a transcript of the gene named DEAD-box ATP-dependent RNA helicase 1-like, with no coding region annotated. The record is from RefSeq and is a predicted model, not a curated record. NCBI's taxonomy places the organism in Eukaryota, Viridiplantae, Streptophyta, Magnoliopsida, Asterales, Asteraceae. The transcript has 4 exons.